AGCGGCGGGCUUAACACAUGCAAGUCGAACGAGAAUGAGGGCUUCGGCUCUCUAGUAAAGUGGCGGACGGGUGCGUAACACGUGGGUAAUGUACCUUCCAGCGGGGGACAACCGUCCGAAAGGAUGGCUAAUACCGCGUACGUCGGCGAGGGCUCCGGUCCUUGUCGGGAAAGAUGGCCUCUCCUUGGAAGCUAUCACUGGAAGAUCAACCCGCGGCCCAUCAGCUAAUUGGUGAGGUAACGGCUCACCAAGGCUAAGACGGGUAGCUGGUCUGAGAGGAUGAUCAGCCACACUGGGACUGCGACACGGCCCAGACUCCUACGGGAGGCAGCAGUGGGGAAUAUUGGGCAAUGGGCGAAAGCCUGACCCAGCCACGCCGCGUGAGUGAUGAAGGCCUUCGGGUCGUAAAGCUCUGUGGGGAGGGACGAACAAGCUGGGCGCUAAUCACCCCGGUCCUGACGGUACCUCCUUAGCAAGCACCGGCUAACCCUGUGCCAGCAGCCGCGGUAAUACAGGGGGUGCAAACGUUGCUCGGAAUUAUUGGGCGUAAAGCGCGCGUAGGCGGCUACUUAAGUCGGAUGUGAAAGCCCCUGGCUCAACUGGGGAAGUGCACCCGAAACUGAGUGGCUUGAGUGCGAAAGAGGGUCGCGGAAUUCCCGGUGUAGAGGUGAAAUUCGUAGAUAUCGGGAGGAACACCGGUGGCGAAGGCGGCGACCUGGGUCGACACUGACGCUGAGGCGCGAAAGCGUGGGGAGCAAACAGGAUUAGAUACCCUGGUAGUCCACGCCGUAAACGAUGGGUGCUAGAUGUUUCUGGUAUUGACCCCGGAGGCGUCGUAGCUAACGCGUUAAGCACCCCGCCUGGGAAGUACGGCCGCAGGGCUAAAACUCAAAUGAAUUGACGG
This 904-nucleotide ribosomal RNA is filed under the name uncultured bacterium. Its description in RNAcentral is "bacterial SSU rRNA". It matches the Rfam family "Bacterial small subunit ribosomal RNA", at positions 38 to 916 of the family's 1533-position model. The record is from RNAcentral.